CCUACGGGGGGCUGCAGUGAGGAAUAUUGGUCAAUGGACGAGAGUCUGAACCAGCCAAGUAGCGUGAAGGAUGACUGCCCUAUGGGUUGUAAACUUCUUUUAUAAAGGAAUAAAACGAGGCACGUGUGCCUUUUUGCAUGUACUUUAUGAAUAAGGAUCGGCUAACUCCGUGCCAGCAGCCGCGGUAAUACGGAGGAUCCGAGCGUUAUCCGGAUUUAUUGGGUUUAAAGGGAGCGUAGAUGGGUUGUUAAGUCAGUUGUGAAAGUUUGCGGCUCAACCGUAAAAUUGCAAUUGAUACUGGCAGUCUUGAGGACAGUUGAGGUAGGCGGAAUGCGUGGUGUAGCGGUGAAAUGCUUAGAGAUCACAAAGAACCCCGAUUGCGAAGGCAGCUUACCAAGCUGUGACUGACAUUGAUGCUCGAAAGUGUGGGUAUCAAACAGGAUUAGAUACCCUGGUAGUC
Molecule: ribosomal RNA, 460 nt
Filed under: uncultured bacterium
Lineage: Bacteria
Description: partial 16S ribosomal RNA
Rfam family: Bacterial small subunit ribosomal RNA
Source: RNAcentral